RNAcentral lists this ribosomal RNA (444 nucleotides) under uncultured bacterium. RNAcentral's name for it is "SSU rRNA". It matches the Rfam family "Bacterial small subunit ribosomal RNA", at positions 26 to 518 of the family's 1533-position model. The record is from RNAcentral.
AGAGCGAACGCUGGCGGCAGGCCUAACACAUGCAAGUCGAGCGCCGUAGCAAUACGGAGCGGCAGACGGGAGAGUAACACGUGGGAACGUACCCUUUGGUUCGGAACAACCCAGGGAAACUUGGGCUAAUACCGAAUAAGCCCUUACGGGGAAAGAUUUAUCGCCGAAGGAUCGGCCCGCGUCUGAUUAGCUAGUUGGUGGGGUAACGCCCACCAAGGCGACGAUCAGUAGCUGGUCUGAGAGGAUGAUCAGCCUCAUUGGGACUGAGACACGGCCCAAACUCCUACGGGAGGCAGCAGUGGGGAAUAUUGGACAAUGGGCGCAAGCCUGAUCCAGCCAUGCCGCGUGGGUGAUGAAGGCCCUAGGGUUGUAAAGCCCUUUCGGCGGGGAAGAUAAUGACGGUACCGCAGAAGAAGCCCCGGCUAACUUCGUGCCAGCAGCCGC